This is a long non-coding RNA of Topomyia yanbarensis, 628 nucleotides long. RefSeq lists it as uncharacterized. The transcript is spliced from 2 exons. NCBI's taxonomy places the organism in Eukaryota, Metazoa, Arthropoda, Insecta, Diptera, Culicidae. The record is from RefSeq and is a predicted model, not a curated record.
UUGGGCCAACCUUACUGCAUGUUUAUGUUACCUUUCCUGACUUGGUAAAUUUAGUCGUCAAGAAUCAAAGUCCACGAACGGGUGCUCAACCAAAUUGAUUUACUACUGCUGCAAUAACGAGGAAAUCAGUUCAGCGUUACAAAAUAUUUAAACAAUUAGGACUAAAACAUGCAAUCACUAUGUGUUGCAUUGUCAUAAAAUCGCACUUCAUUAUCAUCCUAGUUAAGUCACAUCAUAAUUACUCAAUAUUCAUGCCCAUAAAACUACCAGUGAGGCGUGUGUUAUCAAUGCAUUGCCGUUGAGCAGUCCUGCUAUAAAAAAUGGGAAGCUAUCUGUGUGAACUCCGAACCUAUGCCAAUCAGUUUGCAAUUGCAACUCGGGUUGGUGAACUGUUUUGUGUCGAUCGUGGAGAAACUAUGGGAAUCAUCAGGCAGUUUAUAUACUUUAUACUAUAUUGGGGCAUUAUGAUGAUUUCUAGUGCAUAUUCCGUUGCAGUUUCACCUCCCAGGAAGCCACUGCCUGCGAUGGAAAGAGCAUGCAAAAAUUGCUGCAAUGUGUACUGCAAUGGAGUUGAAAAAUGUGUAAAAAUAAAAACUCGAGAAUGGAAAAAAUGAAUAUUUGACAAUCA